This 295-nucleotide ribosomal RNA is filed under the name Pluralibacter gergoviae. Its description in RNAcentral is "partial 23S ribosomal RNA". It matches the Rfam family "Bacterial large subunit ribosomal RNA", at positions 1919 to 2213 of the family's 2925-position model. The record is from RNAcentral. Lineage: Bacteria; Pseudomonadati; Pseudomonadota; Gammaproteobacteria; Enterobacterales; Enterobacteriaceae.
CCCGGUAAACGGCGGCCGUAACUAUAACGGUCCUAAGGUAGCGAAAUUCCUUGUCGGGUAAGUUCCGACCUGCACGAAUGGCGUAAUGAUGGCCAGGCUGUCUCCACCCGAGACUCAGUGAAAUUGAACUCGCUGUGAAGAUGCAGUGUACCCGCGGCAAGACGGAAAGACCCCGUGAACCUUUACUAUAGCUUGACACUGAACAUUGAGCCUUGAUGUGUAGGAUAGGUGGGAGGCUUUGAAGCGUGGACGCCAGUCUGCGUGGAGCCAACCUUGAAAUACCACCCUUUAAUGU